UACGUAGGGGGCAAGCGUUGUCCGGAUUCAUUGGGCGUAAAGAGCGUGUAGGCGGCCAGGUAGGUCGGUUGUGAAAACUGGAGGCUCAACCUUCAGAGGUCGACCGAAACCAUCUGGCUAGAGUCCGGGAGAGGAGAGUGGAAUUCCUGGUGUAGCGGUGAAAUGCGCAGAUAUCAGGAAGAACACCCGUGGCGAAAGCGGCUCUCUGGAACGGUACUGACGCUGAGACGCGAAAGCGUGGGUAGCAAACAGG
RNAcentral lists this ribosomal RNA (253 nucleotides) under uncultured bacterium. RNAcentral's name for it is "partial 16S ribosomal RNA". It matches the Rfam family "Bacterial small subunit ribosomal RNA", at positions 524 to 776 of the family's 1533-position model. The record is from RNAcentral.